This 22-nucleotide unclassified non-coding RNA is filed under the name Dictyostelium discoideum. The record is from RNAcentral. Lineage: Eukaryota; Evosea; Eumycetozoa; Dictyosteliales; Dictyosteliaceae.
CGUUGGAUUGUUCACCCACUAA